Molecule: ribosomal RNA, 440 nt
Filed under: uncultured bacterium
Lineage: Bacteria
Description: partial 16S ribosomal RNA
Rfam family: Bacterial small subunit ribosomal RNA
Source: RNAcentral
CCUACGGGAGGCUGCAGUGGGGAAUAUUGCACAAUGGGGGAAACCCUGAUGCAGCCACGCCGCGUGAAUGAAGAAGGAAUUCGGUUUUUUAAACUCUAUCAUCAGGGGAAAAAAAGACGGUACCUGAGGAAGAAGCCCCGGCUAACUACGUGCCAGCAGCCGCGGUAAUACGUAGGGGGCAAGCGUUAUCCGGAUUUACUGGGUGUAAAGGGAGCGUAGACGGCGAAGAAAGUCUGAAGUGAAAGCCCGCGGCUUAACCGCGGGACUGCUUUGGAAACUUUUUUGCUGGAGUACCGGAGAGGUAAGCGGAAUUCCUGGUGUAGCGGUGAAAUGCGUAGAUAUUAGGAGGAACACCAGUGGCGAAGGCGGCUUACUGGACGGUAACUGACGUUGAGGCUCGAAAGCGUGGGGAGCAAACAGGAUUAGAUACCCGGGUAGUC